Molecule: long non-coding RNA, 33035 nt
Filed under: Capsicum annuum
Lineage: Eukaryota; Viridiplantae; Streptophyta; Magnoliopsida; Solanales; Solanaceae
Description: long non-coding RNA (CANN_LNC019257)
Source: RNAcentral
UAUUAAUGCUCUUUAUUGAGCUAAAAGUUCAAGUCUAAAAGAGUUAAAAAAAACCUUGAGCAAGGAUUUGAAAUUUUUUAGUAAAACAAAAUUCUCAAUUAGUCAGAAGUCUAAAAGCUGCUUUCGGUAGUGGCGAAUUCUGGCGAAGUUUAAGGCACCAUUUUGCUUCCCUGAGAAAGGUUAGUCUUCGAUUCUUCUUUCUUGUCUUGUCGUGUUGUUAUAGUUAUAGCAGUAGUAAUUUUGAUUAUUGCAUUGUAUGUUUAGAAUUAUUGUUGUAGAGGCUAUGAAGGCUAUAGGUUUUUAUUAUGAUGAAAAAUAUCGUUGUGCUAUCUCUCCGCCAAAUUUCAUCUUUUUUCUCUUGUGGAUGUAUGUUAGCUCUUAGUCCUUCCUCAAUAUAAGUGAAAGUGAUAGUUGUAGAAAGUGUUUGAAAGUCAUAAGUCUUCUUUGUUCAGCUCUUGGACUUAAUAUCUUGUUGGUUAGAUCAUUGUUUUGCCUCAUGAUUCUUGUUUUGGUUCUGAAGAUUCACUAUUUAUCUUAAUCUGUGAUUUCCUUUAGUGCCUCUUUUUGUGAUUUUCUAUUGAGGUUCAACGAUUCCUACUAAAUCCCUAACUUAUUUAUACGUGUUCUGCGUAUCUUUUUUAUUCACUCUUUGACAUAAGUGUUUCUGUUGGGCCUUUCUCAUUUUUUGUUCUAGCUUAAGGGUGUGGCUUGUACUACUUCUAUCUACUAUUUUUUAAGAAAAAAGCUUAAUCCGUCUUGUCCAGCUUAACUUCCUACUUGUUUUAGCUUGAAUACUAAUUCUUCAUCUUGGAAACUUUGAUUUUGAUACCUGUGUUCUAUUUUAAAUUCGUGUCUGUUAGGGGUUCUUGUUUGAGGCCUUUGGGAAAAUGUAUUGGCUUGUUGAAGAAUAUUAGGUAUUUAAGUAUCUCUGUUGAAGUAGAAUAUCCUAAUUUUUGUUGUCAUUACGCUAUGUGUAAUUUGUGCUUAAGCUAAGGAUUCCCAAGAAUCUUUCUUGCUCGAUAACAUCAAGAAGAGAGGGGUGAAGUUAUAUUUUUCUUACUCCUAAAAACAAAGUUAGGAGACGGAAUACAUCAUCACAACUGUUUGCUUCUAUCCUCAAGUGCCCACUAUCAGGGAUUUUUUUAUUUUUAAUAUUUGAAAAUAUUUAAUUGUUUUCCCUAGUCUAAUAACUAUAUAUUUUGUGGUCGGGUGCGACAGAUAUGUUAUAAUUGGUCCAGCUGUUGUUUUGUUUAGCUGAAAAGCUCAAAGUUGAAAGGAGAAGUUGUCUUUUUGAAAUGGCUAGUUUUAUAUCUCUUUCUCUGAUUCAUGAGUGGAGUAUUGAACAACUUACUUGCUCUCAGUGUGUACUAUUACUUCUCUUCUAUUAGGUAUAUGCUCUAUUCUAGUUUCAUUGCUUUCAUCAAGUGCUCGUCUCUCAUGUAUUCUUAGAGUUAUUUAUUUUAAAUCAAGCAUGUUACUAGUAUCGAUUAGGCAAAUUGCAAUGUAGACCUCUGUCUUCAUUUUAUGAAUUAAGUGGUUUAGUUAAAUGGGCCUGUUAUCCCCCCAAAUCUUAUAUGAUACUCAUUUAUUCCAGAUUGUUUUAUCUGUUGAAUCCAAGUGUUUUUUGCUUUGUUAGCAAAAAUUAUACGUUUUCAUUUAACAGGUCAGGUCAUAAGUUACCUCUUACUUUCCUUCUUUUCAUUUUUCAUUUUCUAUGAAAGCAUUGGUUGUAUUGUUCUUAUUUUUGUUCAUUUCUUUGCUAUGACUUAGUCUGGAACUAUCUUUUUGAAAUUUGUCUUGAAACAGUAAAGUUUAUAGUUUCCUACAAAGACUGUUUUAAUCGUGAAAUUUUAACGAGUUUAUGAGGUGCUUUCAUGCAAUUUUGGUAUUAAACAUUGUAUUUCAAGUCAAGUACGAACAUAAACGCCUAAUUUCCUAUAAAGGUCGAAUUGAUUCACAAUUUUUUUUGAUGGCUUGAAUGAUGAAUUGUUUAGUUGACUUCCAUGUCUACUUUUAUCUCUCAUUCCUUUCCCAUAUUUCUUCUUUUCAAGUUUUCUGAAAAUGCCUUGUUAAGAUAUGAAUACUCCGAGUUAGUAUUGCGGAUUAGUAAGAAGAUCAAAUCUUGUUUUGAUUACUUGAAAUAUGAAAGCCAAUCCCAUGUGUAGUGUGAAUAUGUUCAAGAUUAUAUAUAGUUUGAAUCAGUUGUGUUUUGUAUUUAUUUUUCGAAUUAACUACUCUCAUUUCGAAUAAAAUUCUAAUCCUCCUCUUUUCUUUGGCGUGAAAAAUCUGUUUGGGGUUCGAGUGGACUUUCCUUUUCUUUGCAUUCAUAAUAGGCAAAUGGGGCCAUCUCUUCGAGUCAACUUCAAGCUAAGUCCAAAAGUUUGUCCUAUGGAGUACCGUAAUAAGGAUAUAGAAGAAGAUAAUGGGUCCAAGCCCAUUGACAUAGCUGCUAGGAUUUGGAGACUUGAAAAGUCUCAUUCUUCAUUAUUUUAUUUAUUUAGUAUUGCUUUACUUGUCUUUAUUCAUUUAGUUACUUAUUUAUUCAUUCAUUCAGGGCCUCAAAGCUAAAGUGGUAAAUUAAUACAGAGAAAGCAGAUUUUGGGCCAAAGGGGUCCGAAAAGAUAGUUUAGGACAGGUUAUAGGCCAAAAGCCUAAUAUUUAAAUUAGGACAGGUGAAAAUGAGCUAAAAGCCCAAAUGAAUAGUUAAGGACAGAGGUAUUUGGGCCAAAAGCCCAAUUAUAUUAGUACAGGAUUGAUGGAUUUUGGCUUACAAGCCUGACUUAUAAUUCUUCCCGUUCCCCUUUAUGUGUUAUUUGAUAUUAGUUUUCUUAGAACUAGUUAAAUUCCCCAUUAAGUCGUCCAAAAUUAAUUUUGCACAAAUUUUUCUCUUAAUCAAUUUUUUUAUAAAAUAAUACCUAUUUAAAUUUAGACAAAGAUGUUGUUUUCAAAUAGUCCGGAUAACCGCAAGUUAAUAGAUACUCUUGGUUCCUUAACCACCUUCCAAGAGUAUUAAUAGGAACCACUUACUCGGAAUUUCAAACUUAAAUAAUUUUUUUCUACUUUGAAUCAUUUAAGUAAUUUCCAAAGGUUUUUUCUUAAUGUUUCUAAAUAAAUUAAGUGGAGACUCUAUUCUUGAGUUUAAAAACUUUUUGAAAGCAAAAAACUCAAAAGUUAUUUCUCCGCAAAACAAAAAUAGCGUCUCUGUUGGGGAGAUUAAGUAGGUUCUAACCAAAUAUUUGAAUUGGCUUCGUUGACUAACUAUUGCAAUUUUUAAACUGCUUAUGCACUUAUAUUUUUAAUUUCUACGAAAUUAAGCUAUUAUAUUUCAUGGCAUAGUUUCCACUCGAAAUAUAUAAAUUGUUUGGGGUUUCGUUGAUGUUCAGGGCCCUAUUGUUCAAUUCUAAAGUAAGUGUUGGGAAUACGACGGUUUAUUAGCAUGUUAGGCGUCUGAUGGCUAUUCAUAUUUCCAAACCCAAGUCGUCCUCCAGGGACCCUGGUCCAAAUCCACUCUAGACACCCAGGAUAGAGCGAAACCAAAGCCACUAGAACUUGAAUCUAAACACGAAGAAGUAAAGAUAGAAGCAUAGGAUAACCAAGAUAGGAAGACAGACACAAAAUUGAUAAUGCAAGGGGAAUCGAAGGUUAUUUCAAACCCUAAAACCUCCCUUAAUGGAUUACCAAUUACCACCUAACUCUUACGUCACCGCAAAGGGGAUUAGAUCUUCCUUACAACCAACGUUUCUAGUCAAGGCUCAAUAUUGACUUUUCCAAGUACUCAUCACUCCCAAUGGACUUUCCAUGAAUACAUCAUGAUAAAUAGUCAACAAAAACUAAAGAAGAAAGACCUAAAUCUAUCUAUUUAUAGUCAAAUAAAAGGCCUAAAAGUCACCCAUUAGCAAAAACAAAAAAUAACCUCAAGGGUGAUUUUCAAUUGAUGACUUCAUCACUAGUCGCCACUGUAGUCGUCAACCAAGUGAUAAGUCAUUGCUUUAGUCAUAACCCUUAACAUAAUGUCAUCUUCAGUGACAAUUCAUCACCUAAGUUAUCAGAAAGGUGAUAAGUCAUCACUUAAGUCAUCUGCCUUAAUAGAAUGUAAUUUUCAGCUUGAUAACUCGUCAGUGAAGUCGUCAACAACGUGAUAACUUAUCAACCAAGCUGUCACUUCUAGGAAGAAUGUUAGUUUUUUUAUCUUUUUAUCCCAAUAAAUUAACCAUACAUGAGAUUGUUGGUUUAGGAGCUCAAAGAAGGUCCUCCAAGUGUAUUCUUGAAUUGUUUGGUUUAUCAUGACUCGGACCUCUUUGUGUUGUCCUCGAAUGAUGUGUUCAAAAAUGUUCGUGGCCAUUUGGCUUGCAUCAUCCUCCCCUUCUUGAAAAGGAUUUGACCUUGAAUCUAUUCCUUGAAAAAUCAAAGGAAGGACAAACAAACACAAAAUCAUCAUGGAAUGAGGGUUAUGGUUAGCACACAAAUCACAUCAUCAUGCCAAGGUUGAACAUAUUUAAUAUAUAUCCAAGUAUCCUUCAUGUUAAACAUUAGAAGCUCGUUGAAAAAUACACAAAGAAGUUGAUUAUGAACAUCAUCAAGAUAUAAGGAAACAAUAAAGGUCUUAAUGACAUCAAUUAUUCCAAAAGGUAGAACUACGUAUACCUUAUGAGCCAUAGGACACAAUUGCUUCAUUAUUUCUUCAACAGACCACACCAAGGGUGGUGCCUCAAUGGCUUCUAAAGUUCACAAGAUCCAUAUAGUAUUGUGACACAAACAAGUGGACAAACCAACAAUUUUCCUACCUCGACAUAAAAAAUCCAAGACUAGCAUGGAUGUCGUCAUAUGGAAAAAAGUAGUAUAGAAAAGAAUCAAGUGUAAAGGCAUCAUCCAAGGUGCUUGUAAUACCCAAAAAUCCAAAUCAAUAUUAAAAACAUUCUUCAAGAUCAUGGAAAAUAAAUUAUAGUGAUUUGGUAGUUUUAUUAGUGAGUUUGAUGUAUAUUAAGGCCUCAAAUAACUCCUAGUUAUUAAAUAAAUCAAAAUAUCUCUUACUGAUUGAGUUCUUGAGAAGGAUGUCGCCAUAGUGAACUUCAAAUGAGAAUAUGUUUUGUUUUACUAAAAAAAUUUUAUGACAUAGCCCACCAACGGUUAGAUAAUUGAAUUAUCUUUUCAACGAUAGCAAUUUUUUCUUAAUCUGAUUUCUGAUUAAAACUUUAUGCUUGUUUUACCAGAGAGCUGUCCUACUGUCGAAGUGCGAUGGCCAGGUUAACGGUCAUCAAGCCAGGCCGUCAACUUCAGGAAGUGAGCUCAUUUUCUACCCAUAAACUGAUUUCUUGAGUGACGGUCAAUCACCAGAGUGACGGUCGGUCACCCAAACCAUCAACCAAGCCCGCUCAAUGAAGGAUUGACAUUUUUAAUGAGGUCUAUGGGUCUUUUUCCACCCUUUUUAACCCCUAAUUCCAUCAACUUAAAAAACAUAACCCCUCACUCAUCCUUAAAAUCAAAAUUAGGGCUUCUUUCAAGAUCAUUCACCAAGAACAAGAUUCAAACCCUUCUUCAAGAAACUAAGAAAUUCAAGUUCUUCAAGUUCAAGAAACAUCAAGAAAACAUCAAGAUUUAUGAUUCCCAAUCCAAGAACGUUCAAGAAAAGUUAAUUCUCUUUCAAGAAUAAUUCUUUAAGGUAUGUUAAAUGUUCAUCCAUGGAUCCUUUUCACCCAUGGAUCCCAAGAACCCAACUUCAAAUUCAAAGUUAUGAUUUUUACAAAUUAUGGGGAUUUUAACCAUGAGUCGCCUUGAAUUUUGAUUCUAUAACAUGUUCCCCAAACAUUAGAAUGGUGUUGUUCACUGAAUUAAACCCUAAUUGGUGAUUUUAGUAGGAAAACCAUGCUAUUACUAUAAGUUUUAAAACUAUUCCCAUACUUAUCUUAAACCAUGAAUUACAAGUGUUUGAUGAAAUGCCCAAAAAAAGGAGUUUUGAAUAAAUGCUUACAUAUCAUGUCCUCAAAGUUUUAGUACAAUCCUUCUAUUAUUAUUAUCGAGUCCUGGGGGUUUAAAUACCCAAAAUUUAGUCGCUUACCUAGUUUUCAAUAUUUAUAGAAUGGUUACAGAAUUUAAAUAGUUAAGCAUAGUCAGCCAAAUAUUUUGGGUCUUUCAGUUGGGAGUAGGAUUUAGCAUCGAGCAAAUGUAGGUAUAACGGCUUCCCCAUCAGUUAGGCAGAGUCAUUAGUAGCAGUCCUUGCAUUCCAGAACUAUGUAGCCGGCGUAGGAUAUGAGGAGUCACCCAUCAAUUUAGGCUUGAUUUUGCCCAGGUGUCACCCAUCAAUUUAUGCUUGACAUCCUAGUUUUUCAGUAGCUUAGUGGAUCCACUCAGCCAUGAGUUAGUACCCGUGGCACGAUAUUGGCACCCUUCCAAUUGGGGUCACAGUUUGGACCCCAAUUUGCUCAUUGGGGCAUGUCGGUUAGAUGAUAGCUCCCAUAGUCUCAGUCCAAUAUUCAGCCCAAUAAUUUAGUUUCAAGUUUGCUUGAACUUAGCAUACAAAUAUAAGUCAUUUGUUUAUCAGUAUUCAGUAUUUUAGUUAACUUAUUAUAUUUAGAACAUGUUUUAUGCUUGGUUAUGCAUUCUCAGUCUUUACCGAUUUUAUGCAUUAUAUUUAGUACUUCAUGAUAUACAUUCAAUCAUCUAUUACUUGUGCACAUAAAACCAUGUAUAUUAGCCUAACCUCAUUUAGCAUACCAGUAUAUUCAAAGUACUGAUCGCAUACUCUUUUCUUAUGCAAUGAUGUUUAAUAUCAUAGGUUUGGAUGCUCAGUUCCCUAAUCGCGCAUAGGCAUACCAAAUUAUCAGCUGUAGUAGUGGUGAGUCCUCAUACUUAGAGGAAAGGGUUUAUUUAUCUUAGUUUACCUUAUCAAUUCAGUAUUUUCUAUUCAGUUGGAGUUAGUUGGGGUUUAUCCCAUCAGCUCCACAGUCAGUCAUUAGAUACUUUUUAGACUAGUAUAAAUAGUUAGCCUUUGGUCGUUAUCAUUAGUCAUUCUAUCAAUGUGGUCAGUAUUAUUUUAUAGACAUUAUCAGAACUAUGUUUUAAAACCUUAUGACCUUUUUUAGUUAAAUUCCAUAUAUGAUCUUUUGAUGUCGGUUAUACUCAGUGCUUAAGGCAGGUACCACUAUCAUAGGUUAGUUUGUGGUCACUUGUCACUAUAGGUACCGUAUGGCAUCCAGGGUGUACUCAUGGGGCUUUACAAACUUGGUAUCAUAGCCUAAGGUUUUAAAGUUUCCUAGGAAGUCUAAAAGCCAUGUUAAGUAGAGUUUUGUGCAUGGGUGUAAAGCCCACCACACUUAUGGACAAGAGGCUACGAGAUAUUUUAAGAAAAGUUUCCCUUCUUUCAGUGUUCAUGUAGUGCAAAAGAGAAUGAUCUUGAUUUAAAAUCACUUUCUAACUCAUCUAUCCUUCUGUGUAUAUAAAAUACCUCCCAGAAAGAACAACAUAAGAAGAAAUAGGAAUGAUCCUACACCUCCACCUAUUUAGGAAGAUCCCCUAAAUGAGCAUGUCUAUCACGCUAAAUUUAGAGUUUCCUUCACUACUUUAUCCUAUUCAGUGUUUAUUAGAACAAUCUACAGGUUGUUGUCCUAGCUAGGCUUUUGACUUAUGCUCAGAAAAGUGAGGAGAGAGCGUAGAAAGAAAGAGAGAAAAAAAUAAGAGGGCCAGAACAAGUAAUUUUAAUCUAAGGUUAGGGGGUAGUAACCGCUCCUAAUUCCAUCAAAAAUUCUCAGCCCUAGCUUUGCCUUUAACUAGUGUUCCAGUGCCUAAGUUUAAGAAUGAUUGUCAAAAUAGAACACUAGGCUCUAAGUCACAAGGUAGUGGAAAAGGUAUUCGUACUAAUUUGGUUUGCGAAGAAUAUCACAGGAAUCAUAAGAGUAUUUGUAGAGCCGGUAGUGAUUUGUGUUUUGGGUGUGGAAAGACAGGCCCCAAAGUUAGAAUUUCCCAACAAGUGGUCAGCAGGGAAAAUCCAAUCGUCCUCCAAUUCCAUUCUAUCACCCGACUCAGCAGGGCACCACUUUUAGUGCCACCAAUGGUUAAUGUCAGAAAAGACUUUAUGAACACCAGUCUCAACAUGAUCAGGAAAUUUCAACUAAUUUGGUUACGAGUAUGUUAUCGGCCUUUCAUAUUGUUAUGUAUGUUUUACUAGAACUAGAGCUUCACUUUCUCUUGUAACCCUCCUAUAUAGCUGUCAACUUUGGUGUCAAACCUGAAACAUUAGCAGAUCCCUUCUCAAUGUCUAUAUCAGUGGGUAAAUCUACCAUUUCCAGGUGAGUAUAUAGAAAUUGGUUGGUUACAGUAUCCUAGAAAAACACUUCAGUUGAUUUCAGAAAUAAAGUCCUUCAAUUUCAGUUUCUCGAUGAACUAGUCAUUUAAUGGGGGGUAAUACCUCAGUCUUAGGGGUCAGAUGUGUUUUUAGAGCCCUUCUCAGAAUCUUAUAAUAGUAGAUGGCCUAGAAUUAGAAGCAUAAACCUAGAAGUUUAGUAACAAUAGAGUGGGGAUAGUAUUAUCUGAAUUUGGUGAAUUACGUAUCCAUAGGUCUAAUUGUAUGAAAAGUAAUCAGUAGGCUUAAAAUAGUGUAUUCAAGAUAUUAAGCUAUGUAUUAUGGUAUGGGUGUGCUUAUUCAGCAUCCUUGAGUGCUAAGUUUGAAUGGGGUUAUUGAUGUAGUAAUUGAUGUUCUUACCAGCUCCAUUAUGGAUUAUAAGAUGUUGAUGUCAGAUGUUCGGGUGCAAAAGUAGUUCUCAUGGUUUAGGGAGAAAUAUAAGUUUAAAGAUAGGAAAAUUGUAGGUUAUGAUAAAAGUAGUAUGGUUAUUAAAUAUUUUGGGAUAUCCAUGUUGUGUUAGAAUCUAAGUUUGAAUCUUUGAAGGUUGAGCUAAUAGAAAGAGGAGUUGAAAAUUCUAAGUUAGUCAAUUUUAAGUUGUUACAUAAUGAUUGUUGGGGCUAUAGAAAGGUAUGAGUUGUAUCUCAGAAGAAAGUACUAGUAGUAAGUCUUACAUUAUUGGGUAUAGUCAUUCAGGUGAGUUUACCAACUAUAUGUAUUAUUACAUCCCAGAUUCUAGAGUACGAUGGUGGCAGUUCAGUUUAGAAAUAUUGAUUAAGUGGUUCCAAGACUUAGAAUUGUGAAUUUAAGAUAAGGGGGAGAUGAUGGAACAAUUAACCAAGUUAGGCUCUCAGAUUCUAGUAGUGAUACUAGAGUGUUGUAGAACAACACUAGGGAAGAAGAUGUCGGACCCAUGCUUAUUUCAGUAUUUGUACUUCAGUUAUCAUAAUAUGUCAGCUCUAUGACCAUAGCUCAUAUUCAUGCACUUUAUAGAAAAUCAUGUACUCUCCUAGUACCUAGUAUGAGGAGUCCUAGUUCACCCAACAGUAUGAAUCAUAUUCCAUGAAUUCAAAAACUCCAAACUCAGGUCAUGCAGUUCAUGACUAGUGUAUUCAUGUUUUAAAGUAUGCUCAGUUUCCAUUACUAAUGCUACACUCUUAAUGACCAGAAAAAUUCAGAUUUGUGUCAUGUAUGUCCUCAGUUUAGACCUCUUUAAGGAAUUCAUUUCAUUUAUACUCUAUUCCUCAGGCCACAGUUAAGUGUCCAAGUUAUGCAUGGUAUUUCUUCCAUACUUCAGGAUCUCAUAUUCUAACUUUUCAGUGACCUUCCUUUAUGAAAUAAUGGUGAUGAUGAGUAAUUUGUUUAGAUAUGAGAAAGUAAAUGUUUCAUGUUAAGGAAAGAUUUUUGCAUGCUUGUUUUACAUGAGGCGGUAGUUAUGAAGAUAGGCUUGAAUGUCAUGUUGGUGUGUAAGUAGAUAAAUGCAUUACGUGUUGGUGAAUGGCUAGUAAAAGUUUGUAUUUCAUUAUUGAAGGAGUAAUCAGAAGUAUUUAGAAGAUGGGAAGUUAUUAAAAUGCAUAGUGUAUUGAAUUCAUGACUCAGACUAAUAUUACAGUGUUAUGUGGACAUUGUAUAGAUUUGAGUAGGCUUGAACAUAGCGGGAGAAUUUAGACCAGCUCAACCCUCAGUAGAUAGAGUUAUCGUGCCCAUGUGAAUAUUUUUAGUAGCCUUAAGUGAAGUACGAUGUUGAAGUACAAAAUAAAGUUGAGGGAGUAGGUGAGAAGUGUGUCUAAGAUUGUAAGUUAGUAGUUGUAGUACAUACAGCUUAGUAACUCUAUCCUAGCUAAUGUUUCGUAGGCCUGUGUUCCAUAUUACAGAAUUUUAGCCAUGUUGUGAUUUCUUAUUGAGAUGUCCUAUUCAGACCAUGUUAAGAUUCUCUGCUCCCUAAUAUCAUUAGAACUUUAUGGAAAGAAUGUCAAAGAAAUACUCUAGUUAAGUAUAAGCUUUUAGUACGAGUUAGUUUGUAUAGCCAGUAAUUUGGUUUAGCAGUUAGGCAGACAAGUUCCUAUGGUUUUCAUCUCUCUUAUUCAAGAGGAAAUUCCUUCACAACCAUGCAAGUCGUAACUUCAAUUCAGUCCAUGCAUCAGGCAUAAGUUUUAGAUUCCAGCUAUUUAGUCAUGAUUCUCGUGUAUCAUCUCAGUCUUUCCUCAAUAUUUUAGCCAUGUUAGUGUCUUUCGGGGGACAUAUUAUCCCAAGGGCAGAUGUAAUAUAAACCCCCAAGCUUUCAUGUUCUAAACCUUCUAUCUUCUUUUCACGUAACAAGAUUUAGCUUAAAGUAAUGGGUAAAAAUAAGUUGACUCUCUCAUUCCAAUCUCAACCUUAUAACCAUUCUCAUGUCAUUACAUAUACUCAAGCAAAUCAAUUUAGUUCAUGAUAUUAAAUUCAUGUAUCAUGUUUCAGACCCAAUUAUGUUCUCAUGUUCCCAAUCAUGCAUAUUCAGUAUAUGAUCUCAGAUUCUUCAGUACUCUCAGCUAAACUAGCCUCAUUCGAGGAUGAAUGUUUCCAAAGGGGAGAUAUAGUACUACCCCAAAAAUCCAAACUAAUAUUAGAACCAUGAUCAAGAUCUUGCAAAAGAAAUUAUAGUGAUUUGGUAGUUUUAUAAGUGAGUUUUAUGUAUACUAAGGCCUCAAAUAACUCCUUGUUAUUAGACGAAUCAAAAUAUCCCUUACCGAUUAAGUUCUUGAUAAGGAUGUUUCUAUAGUCAACUUCAAACGAACAUAUAUCUCAUUUUACUAAUAAUUUUUUAUCUCAUGACCCACAAAUAAUUAGAUAAUUGAAUUAGCUUUCCAAGUACCAGUUUACCCUUAAUCCAAUAUUGGGGUAAAAUGUUAUACCCAUUUUACUAGAGAGUUGUCCAACUACCGAAGUGUGACGGCUAGGUUCAUAAACCAUCAAGCCAGGCCAUCAAAUUCAGGCAGUGAUCUCAUUUUCUAGCCAUAAACUGGCCGAUUAAGUGAAGUUCAGUCACUAGAGUGACGUUCCAUCACCCAAAUCGUCAACCAAGCCCGUACAACAACGUAAUGAAAUUUUUCAUGAGAUUUUUGGGUCUUUCCACCCUUUUUAACCCUUAAUUCCAUCACAACAUAACUCCUCAUUCAUCCUUAAAAUAAAAUUUAGGGUUUCUUUCAAGAUCAUUCCUCAAGAACAAGAUUCAAACCCUUCUUAAAGAAACUAAGAAAUUCAAGUUUAAGAACCAUCAGGAAAACAUCAAGAUUUCUGUUUCCCAAUCCAAAAACGUUCAAGAAAUGUUAAUUCUUUUUCAAGAUUAAUUCUUUAAGGUAUGUUAAAUAUUCAUCCAUGGGUCCUUUCCACCCAUGGAGCCCAAGAACCCAACUUCAAAUUCAAACUUGUGAUUUAUACAAGUUAUUGUGAUCUUAACCAUGAAUCCCUAUGAAUUUUGGUUUUAUACCAUAGUUAUAUCAAAUUGUUAUUGUUAUUAAUCCCCACAUAUUUUAAUGGUGUUGUUCACUAAACCUUAAUUGGUAAUUUUAGUAGGGAAAACAUGCUAUUACUACAAGUUUUAAAACUAUUCCCAUACUUAGCUUAAACCAUGAACUACAAGUGUUUGAUGAAAUGCCCACAAGAAAGAGUUUUUAAUAAAUGCUUACAUAUCAUGUCCUCAAAGUUUAAGUACAAUCUUGCUAUUAUUGUUAUCGAGUCCUGGGGGUUUGAAUACCUAAAAUUUAGCUGCUUACCUAGUUUUCAGUAUUUAUAGAUUGGUUACAAAUUAGUUAUGAGCCCUAUCGUUUCAGUCAGUAUUUUAAAUAGUUAAGCAUAGUCAGUCCAAUAUUCUAGUUCUUUCAGUUAUAAGUAGGAUUUAGCACCGAGCGAAUGUCGGGAUGACAGUUUUCCCAUUACUUAGGCAAAGUUGUAGUAGCAGUCCUUGUAUUCCAGAACUAUGUGGCCAGCGUAGGAUAUGUGGAGUCACCCAUCAGUUUAGGCUUGACAUCCUGGUUGUUCAGUAGCUUAGUGGAUCCACGCAUCCAUAUGUUAGUACCUGUGGCAAGGUAUUUCCACCCUUCAAACUGGGGUCACACGUUGGACCCCAAUUUGCAUAUUGACGCAUGUCGGUUAGAUGACAGCUCCUACAGUCUCAGUCCAGUAUUCAGCUCAGUAAUUCAGUUUUAGUUUUACUUGACCAUGGAAUACAAAUAUAAGUCAUUCAUUUAUCAGUAUUUAAUAUUUUAGUUUGUAGAUUAUAUUCAGAACAUAUUUUAUGUUUGGUCAUGCAUUCUCAGUCUUUACAGAUUUUAUACAUUCUAUUCAGUACUUCAUGCUACACAUUCAGUCAGUUAUUACUUGUGCACAUCAGACAUGCGUAUUAGCCUAACCUCAUUUAGCAUACCAAUACAUUCAGAGCAAUGAUCACAUACUAUUUUCUUGUAUUAUGAUAUUUAAUAUCAUAGGUUCAAAUGCUCAGUCCCCUGAUCGUGCAUAGACAUAUGAGAUUAUUAGCUGUAGCAGUGUUGAGUCCUCAUUCUUCAAGGACAUAGUUUAUUUUUCUCAGUUUACAUUAUCAUUUUAAUAUUUUCUAUUUAGUUGGAGUUGGUUAGGGGUUUGUCCCAUCAUCUCCACAGUUAGUCAUUAGAGGCUUUUUAGACUAGUACAAAUAGUUAGUCAGUGUUUUUGUUCUUAUCAUUAGUCAUUUUAUCAGUGUAGUUAGUAUUGUUUUACAGAUAUUAUCAAAAAUGUGUUUUAAAAUCAUAUGGCAUUUUUAGUUAAAUCCUACAUAUGAUCUUUUGAUAGCGGUUAUACUCAGAGCUCAAGAUAGGUACCACUCUCAUGGGUUUGUUUGUGGUCACUUGUGACAGUAGCCACCGUGUGGCAUCCACGGUAUACUCUCGAGGCUUUACAAAAUUGGUAUCAGAGCCUAAGUUUUUAAAGUGUCCUACGGAGUCUACAAGUCAUGUUGAGUAGAGUCUUGUGCUUGGGUGUGAAUCCCCCCACAUAUAUGGACAAUUGUCUACAAGAUAUUUUAGGAAAUGUUUCUCUUUUUUCAGUGUUCAUAUCGUGUGAAAUAGCAUGAUCUCUAUGUAAAAUCUCUUCCUAACUCAUCUAUCCUUUCGUGUAAAGAAAAUGCCUCCCAAAAAGAACAACGAAAGAAGAAAUGGGAAUCAGCCUGCAACUCCAUCUGUUCAGGAUAACCCCCUGAAUGAUGAUGUCUCUAAUGCCAAAUUCAGAGCUGCUUUCACUACCUAUACAUAUUUAGUAGUUGCUCAGAAUAAUCUGAAGGCAAUUCUCCAAUCUAGGCUUUUGAUUCAUGCUCAGUAGAGUGAUGGAGGAGCAUCAGAAGAAAGAGAGAAAGAAUAAAAGGGCCAGAACUAGUAGUUUUAAGCCAAGGUUAGAGGUACUAACCGCUCCCAAUUCUGUAAGAAAUUCUCAUCCCCAGCCUCUCCUUCAGCCAGUGUGCCAAUGUAUAAGCUUAAGAGAAAGGUUGAAAUUGAGCACCAGGCUCUAAGUCACAGGGUAGUGGGGAGGGUGUUCAUACUACUCUGUUUUGUGAAUAAUGUGGCUGAAAUCAUAAAGGUAUAUGUAGAGCCAAUAGUGAUCUGUGUUUUGGGUUAGGAAAUCUUGGCCACAGAGUCAGAGAUUGCCCAAAGAGUAGUCAGUAAGGCUAGUCCAACCAUCCUCUAAUUUUAUCUGUUACCCAGCUCAAUAAGGUGCCACUUCUAGUUCCCCAGUAGUUAACGUCAAAAAAGACUUUAUGAACUCUAGUCCUGACUUUAUCAAGAAAGUUCUCCUGAUGCGGUUAUGGGUAUGUUGCAGGCCUUUCAUAUUCCUAUGUAUGUUUUACUAGACCUAGAGCUUCACUUUCUCUUGUAACCCCCCUAUAUAGCUGUCAACUUUGGUGUACAACCUAAAAUAUUAGCAGCGCCCAUCUCAAUGUCUACUUCAGUGGGUAAAUAUAUCAUUUCCAAGUGAUUAUACAAAAAUUUCCUAGUUACAAUAUCCCAGCAAACCACUUCAGUUGAUUUCAGAAAUAGAGUCCUUCAGUUUUAGUUUCUCGAUGAAUCAGUCAUUUAAUGGAGGGGUAAUACCUCAAUUCAUAGGGAUCAGAUGUGUUUUCAGAGACCUUCUCAAAAUCCUAUAACAGUAGAUAACCUAGAAUUAGAAGCAUGAACCUAGAAGUUUAGUACCAAUAAAGUGGGGACAGUAUUGUCUGAAUUUAGAGGAUUACGUAUCUAUGGGGCUAGUUGUAUGAAAGGUAAAUCAGUAGGCUUAAAAUAGUGUAUGCAAGAAUUUAAGCUAAGUAUUAUGGUGCGGUUGUGCUUAUGUAGUAUCCUUGAGUGCUAAGUUUGAAUGGGGCUAUGAUAUAGUAAUUGAUUUUCUUACCAGCUCCGUUAUGGACUAUAAGUUAUUGAUGUCAGAUGUUCAAGUGCAAUAGUAGUUCUCUUGGUUUAGGGAGAAAUAUUAGUUUAGAGAUGUGAUAAUUAUAGGAUAUUAUUAAUGUAGUAUGGUUAUUAAAUAUUUUGGGAUAUCAAUAUUAUGUGUUAGAAUCUAAGUUUGAAUCUUUAAAGGUUGAACUAAUACAAAGAGGAGUUGAAAUUCUAAGUUGGUCAAUUUUAAGUUGUUACAUGAUGAAUGCUAGGGCUAUAGAAAGCUAAGAGUUAUAUCUUAGAAGAAAGUACUAGCAGUAAAUCUUAUAUUGUCGAGCAUAGUCAUUGAUGGUGAGUUUACCAAUUAUGCGUAUUAUUACAUCCCAGAUUCUAGAGUAAGGUGGUGGUAGUUCAGUUUAGAAAUAUUGAUUAAAUUGCUCCAAGAUUUAGAAUGAUAACUUUAAGCUAAGGGGGAUAUGAUAGAACAAUUAACCAAGUUAGGCUCUCAAAUUCUAGUAGUGAUAGCAGAGUGUUUAUAAUAAUAGUAGGAAAGAUGAUGCCCGACCCAUACUUAUUUUAGUAUUUGUAUUUUAGUUAUCACGAUAUCUACUCAUGCCUUACUUGUCAGCUCUAUGACCAUAGCUUAUAUCUGUGCACUUUAUAGAAAAUCAUAUACUCUCCCAGUCCCUGGUUUGAUAAGUUCCAAUUCACCCAACAGUACGAAUUAUGUUCUAUCAAUUCAGAAACUCCAAACUCAGGUCAUGGUGCUCAUGACUCAUGUAUUCAUGUUUUAGAGUGUACUCAGUUUCCAUGACUCAUGCUACACUCUUAAUGAUCAGCGAAAUACAGAUUUGUGUCACGUAUAUCCUCAGUUUAGACCUCUUUAAUGAAUUCAUGUCAUUUAUACUCAAUUCCUCAGGCUACAAUUAAGUGUCCAAGUUAUGCAUGGUAUUUCUUCCAUGCUUCAGGAUCUCAUGUUCUAACUUUUCAGUGACCUUUCUUUAUGAAAUGAUGGUGAUGAUGAGUAAUUUGUUUAGAUGUGAGAAAGUAAUUGUUUCAAUUUAUGAAAAGAAUGUUGCAUGCUUGUUUUACAUGAGGCGGUAGUAAUGAAGAUUGGCUUAAACAUCAUGUUGGUGCGUAAGUGGAUAUAUGCAUUAUGUGUUAGUGUAUGGCAAGUAAAAAGUUGUAUUUAGUUGUUAAUAGGGUAAUCAAAAUUAUUAAGGAGAUGGGAAGUUAUGAAAAUGCAUAGUGUAUUAAAUUUAUGACUCAGACUAGUAUUACAGUAUUAUGUGUGCAUUGUAUACAUUUGAGUUGGCUUGAACAUAGUGGAAGAAUUCAGUCCAGCUCAGACCUCAGUAGGUAGAUUUAUCGUGUCCAUAUGAAUAUUUUUUAGUAGCCUCAAGUGAAGUGCGGUGUUAAAGUAGAAAGUAUAGUUAAGGAAGUAGUUACGAAAUGUGGCUAAGAUUGUAAGUUAGUAGUUGUAUUGCAUAAGGCUUAGUAACUCUAUCCUAGCUGAUGUUUCAUAGGCCUUCGUUCAUAUUACAGAAUUUUAGCCAUGUUGUGAUUUCUUAUUCAGAUGUAUUAUUCAGAUGUCUUAUUCAGACCAUGCCAAGAUUUUCCACUCCUUAAUGUCAUUAGAACUUCAUGGAAAGAAUAUCGAAUAAAUACUCUAGUUAAGUAUAAUCUUUCAGUACGAGUUAGUUUGUAUAGCCAGUAAUUUGGUUUAGCAAUUAGGCAGACAAAUUCCUAUGGUUUUCAUCUCUCUUAUUCAGGAGGAAAUUCUUUCACGUCCAUACAAGUCAUAACUUUAGCUCAGUUCCUGCAUCGGGCAUUAGUUUUAGAUUCCAGAUAUUCAGUCAAGAUUCUUGUGUAUCAUCUUAGUAUUUCCUUAGUAUUUUAGCCAUGUCAGUGUCUUUUGGGGGGACAUAAUAUCCCAAGGGGGAGUGUAAUAUAAUCCCCCAAGAUUCCAUGUCCUAAACCUUCCAUUUUCUCUUCACGUAACAAGAUCUAGAUUAAAGUAAUGGGUACUCUUAUGUUGACUAUCAUUCCAAUCUCAGCCUUAUAACCAUUCUCAUGCCAUUGCAUGUAUUCAAGGAUAUCAAUUUAGUUCAUGAUAUUCAGUUCUUGAAUCACAUUUCGGACCUAGUUAUGUUCUCAUGUUCCCAAUCAUACAUGUUCAGUGUAUGAUCUCAAAUACUUAAAUACUAUCAGCUAAACCAGCCUCAUUUGAGGAUGAAUGUUUCCAAAGGGGAGAUAUUGUAAUAACCCAAAAAUUCAAAACAAUAUUAGAACCAUGCUUCAAGAUUAUGCCAAAUAAAUUAUAGUGAUUUGGUAUUUUAUUGAGUGAGUUUUAUGUGUAUUAAGGCCUCAAAUAACUCCUAGUUAUUAGACGAAUCAAAAUAUCCCUUAUCGAUUGAGUUCUUGAGAAGGUUGUUGCUAUAGUCAACUUCAAAUGAGCAUAUCAUUCGUUUUACUAAGAAUUUUUGAUCUUAUGACCCACCAACAAGUAUUUAAUUGAAUUAUAUUUCAAAUUAUAGCUAUUUUUCUUUAAUUUAAUAUCGGGGUAAAACAUUAUGCCCAUUUUACCAGAGAGUUGUCCGACUUCCGAAAUGCGACGGCCAGGUUGACGGACUGUCAAGACACUGAUGGACCAUCAAGCCAGGCCGUUAACUUUAGGUAGUGAGCUUAUUUUUGGGCCAUAAAUUAACGGAUUGAAAGACGAUCAGUCACCAGAGUGACGGUCCAUCAACCAAGCCUGCGGUCCAUCAACCAAGCCUGUUAAACAACGUAAUGAUGUUUUUAAUGAGCUUUUUGGGUCUUUUCCACCCUUUUUAAUCCCCAAUUCCAUCACCUUAAACAACAUAAAUCCUCAUUCAUCCUUAAAAUUAAAAUCUGGGUUACUUUGAAGAUCAUUCACCAAGAACAAGAUUCAAACACUUCUUCAAGAAACUAAGAAAUUCAAGUUCUUCAAGCUCUAGAACAAUCUAGAAAACAUCAAGCUUUUUGUUUCCCAAUCCAAGAACAUUCAAGAAACAUUAAUUCUCUUUUAAGAUUAAUGCUUUAAGGUAUGUCAAAUGUUCAUCCAUGGGUCAUUUCCAACCAUGGAGCCGAAGAACCCAACUUUAAAUUCAAAGUUGUGAUUUUUACAAGUUAUUGUGAUUUUAACCAUGAAUCCCCAUGAAUUUUUAUUUUAUUCCAAGUUUACAUGAAAUUAUAAUUGUUAUUAAUCCCCACACAUUUAAAUGGUGUUGUUCACUGAAUUAAACCUUAAUUGGUGAUUUUAGUAGGGAAAUCAUGCUAUUACAAUAAGCUUUAAAACUAUUCUCAUACUUAGCUUAAACCAUGAAUUACAAGUGUUCGAUGAAAUACCCAUAAGAAGGAGUUUUGAAUAAAUACUUACAUAUCAUGUCCUCAAAGUUUUAGUAAAAUCUUUCUAUUAUUGUAGAGUCCUUGGGGUUUGAAUACCCAACAUUUUGCUACUUACCUAGUUUUCAGUAUUUAUAGAAUGGUUACAAAAUAGUUACGAGCCCUAUCAUUUCAGUUAAUAUUUUCAAUAGUUAAGCAUAGUCAGUCCAACAUUUUAGGUCUUUCAGUUGGGAGUAGGAUUUAGCACUGAGCAAAUAUAGGGAUGACGGCUUCCCCGUCAGUUAGGUGGAGUCGUUAAUAGCAGUCCUUGAUUCCAAAACUACAUAGCCAGCGUAGCAUAUUGGCAGUCACCCAUCAGUUUAGGCUUGACAUUUUAGUUGUUUAGUAGCUUAGUGGAUUCACGCAUCCAUGUGUUCAGUAGCUUAGGAAUAUGCCUUGAAGUUUCAUCAAUUUUAAAGGUAUGCUCCUGAUUUAGUGGUUGACAUACGGGCAAGGAGGAGGAAAUUUACUUCUGGGUUGAAUCAGGAUUGGAUUUUUAAACCAAGACUUCCUUGUUGAUUAAAUAUAUAGAUAUCUCUAGGUUGACUAUUCAUAUGCAGUAGGUAGAGAAUAAGAAAAGGAAAUAGGCAGAGUUUAGAUAUAGGCAGAGUAAGUGGAACAGGUUUUUUGACUAGGGUGGUGCUCAGUUUUAGGGUGGUCGGGAUGGUGGAAAAUGGCAGAAAAAUAAGUGGGGGAGUUCUGGUUCCUACUCUUCUGCUAGUAAUCCUUAGGCAUCAUCAGGGUGGUGACAAUUUUUGGGUGUAGGGUGCCCAAUCUCAUGCAAAUAGAGGUCAGUCAGUUUCUUUAUUCCCUUCUUAUCGGUUUUAUGGUCAUCCUCAUCGGGGUUAUUAUGAUAAAGGAAAGGACAAAUUCUUCAAAUAUAGACAGGUAGGACAGUUAAUAAGGUUGCUAUAGGGGCGAAUAAGAUUCCUAUGGCUUCAUCUUCUGGUCCUACACCUGGUAGUGUUGCAUCUACUUCUAUUACUCUUCCUCAUUCUAGUGUUAGUCGAAAUAGGUUGUAUGCUUUGGCGACUUGAUAGGAAUCUAAGGGAUCACCUAAUGUCAUUACUACUACGUUACAACUUUUCUCUUAUGAAGUAUAUUAUUUUCUUGAUUUGGGGUCCAGUUUUUCCUAUGUGACUCCUUAUGCUGGUGUAUCUUUUGGUUUCAACCAAAAGUUAUUUCAAAUCCCUUUUUUGUUUCUACCCUAGUAGGUGUCACGCCCCAAAAUCCCAUCGGGCCGGACUGGCACCCGAAGCCGAGAAGGCCCGGGAGAACCCGUUCAAAUACCUGUACUUUCACUUACAUGUCACCAAAAAAAUUGGACAGCACUUCGUUGCAUAUAGAAAGGUCUAAUUACCUGUAUCAGCACAACACGCACAAAUAUAUAUAUAUAAUACUUGGCCGUCGGGGCCACCACAUAUACAAAUAUAACGUUACUAUAUAAACUUCCAUGACUUUACCCUUCCUUAUGUCUACAAAGCCUCUAGGAUAUACAUGACAUAACUAGGGUCGGGACAAACCCCCGCCCACACGUGACUCAUGUACAAUAACAAAACAUAAGGAACCGACUCGGAAAGCUCCGAAGCAAACUGGAGCUCACCAACAAUAGCUGUAUGACCUGGCUCCUACUUGUGCGGUGUAUGAGUUGAGGUACCUGUGCCUGCAGCAUGAAAUGCAGGUCCCCCGUGAGGGACGUCAGUACGAAAUAUGUACUGAGUAUGUAAAGCUGUAAAUAAUCACAUAUGAUAUAGGAGCUCAAUAGAAAUCAGAAACAAGUGAAUAAGUCGUAAUAGGAGUGGACCACACUUACUAGAACUUGUGACAACCUGUACAUUGUAUUUAUUCAAUCACUUUACCUUCGUUCUUAUCGUCUUUGUAAUCAUUACUGUACUGUACUGUGACCAUUAGGAUGCCUCCAGUACAUAUCAACUGGGAUCGACCCAUGCUAGGCUUAUGCCCCUGGGAUACCACCCAUAAACACAUGAAAUAGGGAUCGACCCAUGCUAGGCUUAUGCCCCUGGGAUACCACCCGAUAAGAGAGAACUUUCAUCACUUAGUUCAAUUAAUCUUUGAGAUUGUUAUUUCGGUCGUCACCACAUUUUUGAUACCUUGAAACAAUGAUACAUCAAUAGGAACCAAGUAAUAGACCUUCUAUACAAUAACGAUGUAAUAAGGACUCAUUGGUACAUCAACAAUAUGUUUCAGAAUCAUCAAUAUCACAACAAUGAAAUAAGAGCCUUUUGGUAUAUCAAUGAACAUUUUGACACUUUAUAGGAUGGAAACAACUUCGUUGGUAACGUAGAACAAUACAUGUUUUUGGACAACCUCGGAAUCUUACUUGAUGGAACAUUGGUGUUUUCAUGCCAAAGAACAUUGUUAGAGUAUGCUUUACAUACCUCGUUGUAGAUUCAGCUACCAAUUCAACACAACUUCCCGCCUUUACAAAUCACUUAUCUACAAUGAAAUGUUUGGCAUCUAGUAUUAGCAACCCAACACCACAAUUCUCUUCCAUAAUUCCAUACUACCAAUAUUUGCAAAACAUUCCAAAAACCAACUUGAACAAUAGGUUUAUGUGUGUAUAUGUAUAUAAUCAUCAUCUCAAUACCACAUCAUCAAUACCACAUCAUCACCCCAAAUUCCUUCACAAUUUAACAUAAUCCAACCAUGCACAAGAAUAAUCCAACAUCAUUUCCAAUCAUCUUUCAACAACAAUCAAAUAACAUACUUCUUAUGCUCACAUGCAUAUAUAUAUAUAUAUACAUAUCCAUAUAAAUAACACCAACAUAAUUUACAUCCUUACCAAAAAAAAUGGCCCUUUUGAUUUCGAAGUCCUGUUGGCACAAAUAAGGGGUGCUUCUCGAAGCCCUUGAGACGGUGAACACAACUACGGAAUCAAUUUGGAUUUUCUACGGUUGAAUCACAAGAUAAUUGGAGUUGAACUUAGGCUAGGGUUUCUUAUUCUUCAAUGAUUUGGAUGAUAAAUGGUGGAUAUAAGGCUAAGUAUAUGUAUAUAAUGACCAAUUUUCGUCCAUGAGGUGAUGGAAAAUGACCAUAUUGCCCUUAAAAAUUUAAGUAAAUCCGAAUCUGUCCAUGGUGGACUGUUUUGAUAGGCUAAAGUAAAUCGGCCAUAACUCUUUGCUCCGAUAUCGGAUUUGGGUGAAAUUGGUAUCGUUAGAAAGAUAAUUCAAAGGUAUUUCAUUUAAUAUAAAUUAAUCCACCCAGUUCGUCCUGUACAAGUAGUUAUGAUCGUUUGAAGUUGACCCUAAAAAUCUGUUUUGAGAGGCUGAAGUAAAACGAGUAUAACUCCUUACUCAGAUGUUGGAUUUGGAUGAAACCAAUUUCAUUGGAAAGAAGACUCAAAGAUCUUUCUUUUGAUAUAUGGUAGCUCAACCAGUUCAUUAUAUUGAGGGAGUUAUGAUCGUUCAAAGUUGACCCAAAAAACUGGCAGGCCUCAGUAGUUUCCUGCACAUUUUACUGUUCACAUCCCGGCCACCGUUUUAAAGUUUCGAACGAGCUCGCUUAUAUCCGAAACUUAUCCGUUUUUGGAAAUCUUUAUAUCGUUGGAAAGCUUAUUCAAUAACCUUCGUAUGGAACCAUCGACGGGAAAAUUCCGAUAUAAAUAAAGUCGAUUCCUAUACACCUAUAAUCAAACUAUACACUUGAAACCAUCUCAAAAUAAUCAAUACUCAUACUUAAACUCAUAUAUACCUAACUUAGGAUCAAUACAUAUACCCCAACACAUAUAACAAUGACUAAUGCACGUAAUUAAGUACGGGGUGUUACAUCCUUCCCCCCUUAAGGACAUUCGUCCUCGAAUGUGAAUGUAGUUAUUUAGCCGAAACAAGUUCAAGUCCACCAUUAACAUUCACAUCAUCACAUAAAUACUAUGCAUAUAUAAACAAAAACUUACUUGUUAAUGUUCUAACUCCGUUUCUUGAACUUCCUCUUCAUCUUUGAACAAAUGAGGGUACUUAGAUUUCAUUGCUUCCUCAGCUUCCCAUGUAAUCUCUUCCCUUUGUUGAUUUCUCCAAAGUACCUUUACUGAUGCCAUUUCUUUGUUCCUUAACUUUUUAACUUGGCGAUCUAGAAUAGCAACCGGUACCUCUUCAUAAGUAAGAUCCUCUGUGACCUGUACAUCUUCUAUAGGAGUGAUACGAGAGGGGUCACCUAUGCAUUUUCGAAGCAUUGACACAUGAAACACUGGAUGAACCAUUGAAAGUUCCUGGGGUAGCUCUAAUUCAUAUGCAACUUGUCCGACCCUCUUGGUAAUCUUAUAUGGCCCUAUGUAACGUGGGCUUAGUUUCCCUUUUUUACCAAAUCUCAUAACCCCUUUCAUUGGUGAUACCUUUAAAAAUACCCAAUCUCCAAUAGAGAAUUCCAGCCCUCUUCUCCGAAUAUCUGCAUAUGAUUUAUGACGACUUUGGGCUGUUUUUAGCCGUUGUUGUAUCACCUUGACUUUUUCUAUGGCUUGAUACACAAGAUCCGGUCCGAACAUAAGAGUUUCACCCGCUUCGAACCAUCCUAUUGGUGAUCUACACUUUCUCCCAUAUAAAGCUUCAUAUGGUGCCAUUUUGAUACUUGAAUGAUAGCUAUUAUUGUAGGCAAACUCAAUAAGAGGUAAAUGAUCAUCCCAGCUGCCUUUAAAAUCUAUAACACAUGCUCGUAGCAUAUCUUCAAGUGUUUGAAUGGUGCGCUCUGCUUGUCCAUCCGUCUGAGGGUGAAAAGCUGUACUCAGAUUCACUUGUGUUCCCAAACCCCGUUGGAAAGACUUCCAAAAGUUUGCAGUAAAUUGAGUUCCCCGAUCCGAUAUAAUAGAAGUUGGCACUCCAUGUAAUCGGACUAUUUCUUUAACAUACAGCUUCGAAUAUUCUUCAACUGUGUAAGUGGUCUUAACGGGUAAGAAAUGUGCGGAUUUAGUAAGCCUAUCCACAAUCACCCAUAUAGAAUCAAAUUUUCGAGCUGUACGAGGCAAACCUGUAACAAAAUCCAUGUUGAUCAUGUCCCACUUCCAAAUUGGAAGAUCUAUGCAUUGCAUAUAGCCUCCGGGUUUUUGGUGCUCAACUUUAACUCUUUGACAAUUUGGACAUUCAGCUACAAAUUCUGCAAUGCUCUUCUUCAUGUCAUUCCACCAAUACAUAUCUUUCAAAUCUUGAUACAUUUUGGUUGAUCCUGGAUGAAUGGAAUACCUUGAAAAAUGUGCCUCUGUCAUAAUCUUCUUUCUUAGCCCGUCUAUAUCCGGCACACACAAUCGGUUUUGGCACUGAAGUACUCCUUCUCGCGUAAGCUCAAAUGCCUUGGUCGCACCACUCUGAACGUUCUCCUUAAGAUGUAAUAAAAUAGGAUCUGCAUAUUGCUUCUCUUUCACUUCAGCUACUAAUGAAGAUUCCGCAGCAUUAUGUACGAUAAGCUCUUUAUUCGGAGUUUCAAGAAGGCGAACUCCCAAACUAGCUAACUGGUGAAGAUCUUUAACCAUCCCUUGCCUUUCUAUAGGCGCCAUCAUAGCCUUACGACUUAACGCAUCAGCUACCACAUUUGCUUUCCCUGGAUGGUACAAGAUAUCAACAUCAUAGUCCUUUAAUAGUUCAAGCCAUCUCCGCUGCCUUAAAUUUAGAUCCUUCUGAUUAAAAAUAUAUUGCAAGCUCUUAUGGUCAGUAUAUAUAUCAACGUGAACCCCAUAUAAGUAGUGGCGCCAUAUCUUUAAAGCAAAAAUAACCGCUGCCAGCUCAAGAUCGUGUGUAGGAUAAUUUUUCUCAUGUGGCCGUAAUUGUCUAGAAGCAUAUGCUAUUACCUUACCAUGCUGCAUCAAUACACAUCCUAAACCAAUUCUGGAAGCAUCACAAUACACUGUAUACCCUUCGGUGCCUUCUGGUAGUACCAACACGGGUGUAGAAAUCAACUUGUUCUUUAAAUCUUGAAAACUCUUCUCACAGGCAUCAUUCCAUUGGAAUUUGGAUGCUUUAUGGGUUAGCUUGGUUAAGGGUGCUGAAAUGGAAGAAAAGUCUUUGACAAACCUUCUAUAAUAACCGGCCAACCCAAGAAAACUACGAAUCUCCGUAGGCGUUGUGGGCCUUGGCCAGUUCUUCACAGCCUCUAUCUUUUGAGCAUCAACCUUUAUCCCUUCACUAGAUACAAUAUGACCCAAAAAUGCCACCGACUUUAACCAAAACUCACAUUUAGAGAACUUUGCAUAAAGCUUACAAUCACGAAGAGUCUGCAAUGCCUGUCGUAAGUGAUUGGCAUGGUCCUCUUCUGAUCUAGAAUAAACUAGAAUAUCAUCUAUAAAAACUAUCACAAAUACAUCCAGGAAUGGCUUAAAAACCCUAUUCAUCAAAUCCAUAAAAGCUGCGGGUGCAUUUGUUAGCCCAAAUGACAUAACUAGAAACUCAUAAUGACCAUACCUUGUUCGGAAAGCUGUUUUGGGUAUAUCUUUUUCUUUGACCCUCACUUGGUGGUAACCUGACCUCAAAUCAAUCUUAGAAAAGCACUUGGCGCCCUGUAACUGAUCAAAUAAAUCAUCAAUUCUUGGGAGAGGAUAUUUAUUCUUAAUAGUCACCUUAUUCAAUUGCCGAUAAUCAAUACACAUCCUCAGCGAGCCAUCCUUUUUGCGUACAAAUAACACUGGUGCUCCCCAAGGGGAAAUACUAGGCCUAAUGAACCCCUUUUCUAGCAAAUCUUUCAAUUGCUCUUUCAAUUCUCGUAAUUCUGCUGGGGCCAUUCUAUACGGAGGAAUGGAGAUUGGUUGGGUGCCUGGUAUUACAUCAAUACCAAACUCUACUUCUCGUUCAGGAGGCAAACCUGGAAGAUCUUCAGGAAAUACAUCAGAAAAUUCAUUUACCACCGGAACAGCGUGAAGAGUUGGUGGCUCCGCUUCUGUAUCCCUUACUCUAGAAAGAAACCCAUGAAUGAACAUCCACAUACCUUAAUAGAUGAUUUCUUGAAGAUUUCUUGAGGGUUUCUUGAAUUUGAAGCUUGAGUUCCUUGGUUUUUUAGGGAGAAAAAAAUUGAAAUUGGUGAUUUUGAGAAAGUGGGAAGGGUUUUCUUGAGAUGGAUUUAGAGAAGAAGGGCAAAUAAUGCUCUAAAUGAUGUCUCAAUUCGUGUUAUGCAUGAUUUGGGUUGAGGGGAACAGACACAAUUUCCCCUCAGGCAAUUAAAUUCAUAACUGGGCAUAACAUACUUACCGCAACGCGGUCUAAUUGAAGUCAUCCAUUUCCCUUACCGCAACGCAGUGAGCAUGCAAAUGGAAAUAUUAAAGCGACGCAGCCGUAUCGCAGUGACUUUCUGGAUUUGUGAUCCAAACAUGACCGAAACCUCAUUCAAAAAAUUUGAAACUUCUCUAAGACAUGCUCCUUACAUCCCUGAAUAUGAAUUAACUCAAAAACCAACACCUUAGGAUCGGGAAGACCAAUCGAAAAAUCCUCGAAGUUAAGAGGACUUAUAAAUGACUAAUUCCCCAACACUUAGUGAAAUUUUUAGGCCUUAAGCCCCUUAUGCAUACAACUAGAAGAUGAACUGACCUAAUAAUAAUAUGGGGUAUUAUAGAAGUGCUGAAAGAAAGACUUAAUCAAAUAAUAAUUAAGCUAAGAAAAAUAGAGAACUUAAUCAAAUGGACGAGAAACCAGAUUGAAUCCAUAAUAUGAUAACUUAAUGAUAAAUCAAGUGAAGAAGAUAACACAAACAAUUUAGAAAGACACCCUAAUCACUCAAUCUAAGCUAACAAUUGAAAUUGAACCCAAUUACUGCCCUAAUAUCGAAUAACUAAAUAUCAAUUCUAUUCAAGACAAUUCACUUUUCCAAAUCUAAGUGAUGAAAAUGGAUAAAGAAACUAUUUAUAGUCAGUGCCUUUACAGAAAAAGUCUAUUACAAAAAUCUCCCUAAUGUGACCAUUUUACAAAUAACUCACAAGGGACCUUCUUAAUUGGCCAAAUGGCAUCUUGAUUGCCAAUGACCUUAUGUAUCUAUUUCUUCAUGCCUUCCUUCAAACUCCAAGAUAUCAUCCAUACAUGGAAGACCCUCCUAAUAUGUUCCAAGCUAAUCAUGAUCCACUUCAUCAAAAGAAUUCAUCCACGAAUCCAAACUUUUUUAAAAAAUGAGAAGGAAAAACAACAAACAUAUCAUCGUAGCAUGAGGUUUAACACAAGGAUUAUCAAUAACAAAUUUAUGGCCAUGCCAAGGGUGUACACAUUUAACAUAUAACCAAGCAAAAAAAUGAGUCAUAAAUGGUUUGUCACCCAACAAAAAUUGAUAUACUUGGCUACAUAGGAAACAUUGACAAAGGGGCAAAUCAAAAGAACCAUGGUGUUUAGGCAACCACUGAUACAAGUCCUCAAUGGUUCUAAAUUUAGAAAAAAAAAUCUCCCUUUAAGUCAUGUAACACAUGAUAACCCAUAUAACUAUGUUUCAUGUCAUAAAUGAGGUCAUUCCAAGUCAAUACUCUAUCCAAUGCACUAACUAUCUUAAAGAAUAGAAUUACUCCUAAUUCAUCAUUGGAGAUUAAAUACGAAGGUAUUCUCUACAUAAUUUGGCAAAUAUAUCUUAUUAAACAUAUAAGAUCAAGUAAUAACACCAAGCAAUAAUCAUAUGAGAGAAAAAAUAUGUUACUACUAUACUUACCACCACGCAAGCCAACAACCUCACCCACAACUUUCUUGUCAUUUGAACCAAGUAUUUUAUCACAAACGCCACUAUUCAAAUCAUUACCAGGACAAAAGGAAAAGGCAAUCCAUAAACAUGGGUAAAAUCAUACACCUAUUUGCCCCAUUGACACUCUACUCUCACAUAACAUACUCCACUCAAAGGAAAGAGUAUCAUCAUAUGCAAAAAAAGUGGUAUAGAAAGGUGUUACUUAAAUAAAGUUUAUUUAAGGUGUGCCCACAUAUAGAAUCACCCUUUGAUCUACAAGCAUUAAGCCCUUGAUCAAGCAUGGGUUCACACAAGAAUGAAUAGGUCAUUGGAGAACAUACACCCCCUUCUUUUGGACCACUAACCCCUCCAAUUGACAAACUAUCAUCUUUUAAGAAGAGAGUUUUGUCUUUAAAAAAUGUGUCAUCAUACCAUAGUGGAUUUUUGAUCACUUGUGUCACGCCCCAAAAUCCCAUCGGGCCGGACUGGCACCCGAAGCCGAGAAGGCCCGGGAGAACCCGUUCAAAUACCUGUACUUUCACUUACAUGUCACCAAAAAAAUUGGACAGCACUUCGUUGCAUAUAGAAAGGUCUAAUUACCUGUAUCAGCACAACACGCACAAAUAUAUAUAUAUAAUACUUGGCCGUCGGGGCCACCACAUAUACAAAUAUAACGUUACUAUAUAAACUUCCAUGACUUUACCCUUCCUUAUGUCUACAAAGCCUCUAGGAUAUACAUGACAUAACUAGGGUCGGGACAAACCCCCGCCCACACGUGACUCAUGUACAAUAACAAAACAUAAGGAACCGACUCGGAAAGCUCCGAAGCAAACUGGAGCUCACCAACAAUAGCUGUAUGACCUGGCUCCUACUUGUGCGGUGUAUGAGUUGAGGUACCUGUGCCUGCAGCAUGAAAUGCAGGUCCCCCGUGAGGGACGUCAGUACGAAAUAUGUACUGAGUAUGUAAAGCUGUAAAUAAUCACAUAUGAUAUAGGAGCUCAAUAGAAAUCAGAAACAAGUGAAUAAGUCGUAAUAGGAGUGGACCACACUUACUAGAACUUGUGACAACCUGUACAUUGUAUUUAUUCAAUCACUUUACCUUCGUUCUUAUCGUCUUUGUAAUCAUUACUGUACUGUACUGUGACCAUUAGGAUGCCUCCAGUACAUAUCAACUGGGAUCGACCCAUGCUAGGCUUAUGCCCCUGGGAUACCACCCAUAAACACAUGAAAUAGGGAUCGACCCAUGCUAGGCUUAUGCCCCUGGGAUACCACCCGAUAAGAGAGAACUUUCAUCACUUAGUUCAAUUAAUCUUUGAGAUUGUUAUUUCGGUCGUCACCACAUUUUUGAUACCUUGAAACAAUGAUACAUCAAUAGGAACCAAGUAAUAGACCUUCUAUACAAUAACGAUGUAAUAAGGACUCAUUGGUACAUCAACAAUAUGUUUCAGAAUCAUCAAUAUCACAACAAUGAAAUAAGAGCCUUUUGGUAUAUCAAUGAACAUUUUGACACUUUAUAGGAUGGAAACAACUUCGUUGGUAACGUAGAACAAUACAUGUUUUUGGACAACCUCGGAAUCUUACUUGAUGGAACAUUGGUGUUUUCAUGCCAAAGAACAUUGUUAGAGUAUGCUUUACAUACCUCGUUGUAGAUUCAGAUACCAAUUCAACACAACUUCCCGCCUUUACAAAUCACUUAUCUACAAUGAAAUGUUUGGCAUCUAGUAUUAGCAACCCAACACCACAAUUCUCUUCCAUAAUUCCAUACUACCAAUAUUUGCAAAACAUUCCAAAAACCAACUUGAACAAUAGGUUUAUGUGUGUAUAUGUAUAUAAUCAUCAUCUCAAUACCACAUCAUCAAUACCACAUCAUCACCCCAAAUUCCUUCACAAUUUAACAUAAUCCAACCAUGCACAAGAAUAAUCCAACAUCAUUUCCAAUCAUCUUUCAACAACAAUCAAAUAACAUACUUCUUAUGCUCACAUGCAUAUAUAUAUAUAUAUACAUAUCCAUAUAAAUAACACCAACAUAAUUUACAUCCUUACCAAAAAAAAUGGCCCUUUUGAUUUCGAAGUCCUGUUGGCACAAAUAAGGGGUGCUUCUCGAAGCCCUUGAGACGGUGAACACAACUACGGAAUCAAUUUGGAUUUUCUACGGUUGAAUCACAAGAUAAUUGGAGUUGAACUUAGGCUAGGGUUUCUUAUUCUUCAAUGAUUUGGAUGAUAAAUGGUGGAUAUAAGGCUAAGUAUAUGUAUAUAAUGACCAAUUUUCGUCCAUGAGGUGAUGGAAAAUGACCAUAUUGCCCUUAAAAAUUUAAGUAAAUCCGAAUCUGUCCAUGGUGGACUGUUUUGAUAGGCUAAAGUAAAUCGGCCAUAACUCUUUGCUCCGAUAUCGGAUUUGGGUGAAAUUGGUAUCGUUAGAAAGAUAAUUCAAAGGUCUUUCAUUUAAUAUAAAUUAAUCCACCCAGUUCGUCCUGUACAAGUAGUUAUGAUCGUUUGAAGUUGACCCUAAAAAUCUGUUUUGAGAGGCUGAAGUAAAACGAGUAUAACUCCUUACUCAGAUGUUGGAUUUGGAUGAAACCAAUUUCAUUGGAAAGAAGACUCAAAGAUCUUUCUUUUGAUAUAUGGUAGCUCAACCAGUUCAUUAUAUUGAGGGAGUUAUGAUCGUUCAAAGUUGACCCAAAAAACUGGCAGGCCUCAGUAGUUUCCUGCACAUUUUACUGUUCACAUCCCGGCCACCGUUUUAAAGUUUCGAACGAGCUCGCUUAUAUCCGAAACUUAUCCGUUUUUGGAAAUCUUUAUAUCGUUGGAAAGCUUAUUCAAUAACCUUCGUAUGGAACCAUCGACGGGAAAAUUCCGAUAUAAAUAAAGUCGAUUCCUAUACACCUAUAAUCAAACUAUACACUUGAAACCAUCUCAAAAUAAUCAAUACUCAUACUUAAACUCAUAUAUACCUAACUUAGGAUCAAUACAUAUACCCCAACACAUAUAACAAUGACUAAUGCACGUAAUUAAGUACGGGGUGUUACAGUAGGUAACUCAGUUAUUGCUAAGAAAGUCUAUAGGGGGUUUGUGGUAUCUGUUGGUGGCAAGCAAACCUUGGUGGAUCUAUUUAAGUUGGAUAUAGUGGAUUUUUAUGUCAUUCUGGGUAUGGGUUGGCUGCACUCUUUUUACACAUCCUUGGAUUGUUAGACCCAUAAAGUUAUCUUUAGGUUCCCUGGUGAACCGGUUAUAGAGUGGGAGGUUAUUUCUUUAUCUCCCAGGGGGAGUUUUAUUUGUUAUCUAAGAGCUCGGAGGUUAAUCUCUAAAGGUUGUUUUUAUGACAUAGUCUGGGUUAAGGAUUCUAACUCGAAAGGUCCUUCUGUCCAGUUAUUUCCAGCUAUUAAUGAGUUUCUAGAGGUAUUUUUGGAUGAUCUUCUUGGUGUUUCUUCAAAUAAGGAAAUAGAGUUUGGUAUUGAUUUAAUUUUGGAUACUCGUCUAAUUUCUAUUCCUCUAUAUAGAAUGGCUCUGGAUGAGUUAAGGUAACUCAAGGAGCAACUUAAGGAUUUUAUGGAUAAGGGGUUUAUUCAUCCUAGUGUAUCUCCUUGGGGUGCACCGGUGUUUGUGUACAAGAAAGAUGGUUCCCUUCAGCUGUGCAUUGACUUUAGGUAGUUGAACAAGGUGACGGUCAAGAACAAGUAUCCUGUUUAAGGAUAUAUGAUCUAUUUUACCAGUUGUAAUGUGCCAAGUUCUUUUCCAUGAUACAUCUUCGAUCAGGGUACCAUCAUGUAAUACCCCGUAUUUUUGUAUUGGAAUUCUAACCAUCGUUCCUAAGCGUCUAAGCUCUAAUCCAAGUGAUUCUCACAUGAAUACAAGUUGCAUGAUCAUUAUCUUAGUCUAUGGAGUAGUUUAGAGGUGAAAAAUAUUCAUAGCAAUGACCUAGAACAAAGCUGAGCUAAGACCAAUUGAUUCAUCCAAAGUUUGACAUUCAAUUCUACAAGGGUCAACUUCAAACUUGAAUAUCUCUUAAUAUACAUGGAAUUUAUCAUCCCAAGACCUAUCAAGUUGUAGAUAAUUGAAUUAGCUUUCCAAUGAUACUAAUUUCAUCAAAAUUUGACACCCGAGCAAGGAGUUAUGGCUUUGCAAAGCAGAGUGCGUUGCCUAACCAAUCGCACGUGGCUACUGGAAUAGGUGUGCGAUAAACAAUGUGGCGCAUACUUAAAUGUGUGCGAUAAUCAAUGCGGUGCAUACUUAAAUAUGUGCGAUAAUCAAUGCGGUGCAUAUUUAAAUGUGUGCGAUAAAUAAUGUAGCGCAUACUUAAAUGUGUGCGAUAAGCAAUGCGCCGCAUACCUCACUUCCAAGUGCCAAAAACACCCCUAUAUAUGUCUAUAACACGGGAUUAAAAUCUCAUAACACCAAAAUAAGUUUACUUUCUCUCAAAAUCACCAAGAACAUUCAUUAGGGUUUCAACCUAAAAAUUCAAAUAUUUCAAGAUUCAACCAUGAGUUUUCAAUAAGUCUUUGAGAUUCGGAAUCCCCAUUCCGAGGGAUACAAGAAACACUCAUUAUUUUCACGAAUAGAGUCCCAAGGUCAAGAUUUCAUUCAAAGCUUUAAUUGUAAGGUAUGUGGGGUUUUUCAACAAGAACAUUCUUUCGUUCUUGUGCCCAAAAUUUGUAUUAUUUUACAAAGAUAUAGAUUUUACAUGCUUUGAUAUGAAUUUGAGAUAGAAACUAUUAUCCUACGUUCUUGUUCAAAAUACUAUUAUAUUUUUAUGAUGUCUUGAAGAUAAAUUCCUUGAGUUUUGAUAUUAAUAUCAUGUUUGAAGUUGAAUCUCCAGAUUUUCAUAUGAAUUAUACAUGUUUGCUACAUAAAGUGUGAAUCUUGAAAUAUUUUGCUCAAGUAUUGAUAUAUGGGUUUUGAACCCUAUUUGAGAAUUAUAAUUUUUGUGAAAGUAAAGUGUUAUGCACACCUUGAGAUUUGAAUGAUUUGACCUUUUGGUCUUGAAAGAGUUAUUUUUGAACUCGAAUGAGAAAAGAAAUCCACAUUUUGAUUUAUUACGAAAAAGGGGUAGCAUGAUGGCUCCCGUUGUGAAUUGCUGAAUUAUUUUAUGGUGGAUUUUCUUUGAAAAUAUCUGAGCUAAGUCCGGGAGCAGUCUUUAGCACCGAGUGGGAGGUAUAGCUGUGUUGGUACUUCCCUAUAACUACGUGCCCCCGUAGGAUCCGAAAUUGAGGCUGAUUAUAUAUAGUGAUCACUAGUUUUUGGAUUUGAUACUUAUAGUCCUACUCUGAUGGCAAGGAUAGGACAGCUCUCCCCAAUGUGGGUUGUACGUUAGACUCCAUGUCGCUCACAUGGUUUAUGUCGGUUAUGAGAUCACCCAAUGUGUGUGUGUAUUCUCCUUUCUAAUAUGAAAAGUGUUAUUCUUCUAUCUGAGAAGAAAAUAUAUUUGUUUGAAAGAAUGAAUUUGAGAAAGUCAUUGUUUUCGAAAGAUUUAAUGAACAUAUAUUCCAAAGAGAAUUGUUAUGAUAUUUGAUUGCUUUAAUAAUUUAGAAUCGAGAUAGAAGUGAAUUGAGAUUUAUUAUGAUAACUCACAUAUUUCACCCGAUAUAUUUUAAUCUCUUAUGAUUAUGAUGAUUUUAAUUCGAGCUAAGUGAAUCGUUUAUAUUAGCAUGCAUAAUUUUAUAAACUGUGAUGAUAUUACGACAUUAUUUUAUAUAUGCAUUACACCCCCAUAUGCUCGGUACAUUUCCAUGGUACCGACCUAUAUAUUUGUAUAUGGGCUAUAUUUUCUUGGAAUGUAGGUACAAGGUAUAGUGUAUAUCUUCAGAUCCAGUCAGUUCACGACAUCCAGUCAGCAGGUGAUGAGUUCUUUUGAUUUAAGGGCUUGAGUUAGUUAUAUAGUUCGAGAAGUGUUGUAUUUUCUUUAUUCAAUCAUAUUGAGUUGGGUUAGUUGGGAGUCAUGACCCAGCUACCUACAGUCAGUACUAGUAGAGGCUUCAUAGACAGUCAAUAGAAGUUAAUGUAUUCCAUUUCAAUUUUGGUUGUAAAAGCAGAGUUGUAAUCUUGUAAAUUUAGUUUUGUAUCUAUAAUAUUCAGAAAAGAGUUAUUUUCUGCAGAUUUGUAUAGAUUUAUACUUUUUUUCAAUUGCUUAUGAGUUAUGCCAGUAGAAGGGUUAGCUUGGGUUCACUUGUGAUCCUAAGCACCGUGUGAAGUCUCAGGAUCCAAUUUUGGGGUGUUACAAACUUGGUAUCAGAGCACAGAGUUCAAGUGUCCUAGGGUGUCUAUGAACCGUGUCUAUUAGAGUCUUGCGGAAUGGUACGGAGAUGUCU